This 96-nucleotide small RNA is filed under the name Marmota monax (woodchuck). Lineage: Eukaryota; Metazoa; Chordata; Mammalia; Rodentia; Sciuridae. The record is from RNAcentral.
GCCAGGUAUGGUGGCACAAACCUGUAAUCCCAGCCUCUCAGGAGGCUGAGGCAGGAGGAUUAUAAAUUCAAGCAAUUUUACAAGACCCUGUCUAAA